RNAcentral lists this ribosomal RNA (1631 nucleotides) under metagenome. RNAcentral describes it as "bacterial LSU rRNA". It matches the Rfam family "Bacterial large subunit ribosomal RNA", at positions 545 to 2179 of the family's 2925-position model. The record is from RNAcentral.
AGAUCCUGAAACCGUGUGCUUACAAAAAGUAGGAGCCCGCAAGGGUGACUGCGUACCUUUUGUAUAAUGGGUCAGCGACUUACAUUCAGUGGCAAGGUUAACCGAAUAGGGAAGCCGUAGAGAAAUCGAGUCCGAAUAGGGCGAAUUAGUCGCUGGGUGUAGACCCGAAACCAAGUGAUCUAUCCAUGGCCAGGAUGAAGGUGCCGUAACAGGUACUGGGGGUCCGAACCGACUAGUGUUGCAAAACUAGCGGAUGAGCUGUGGAUAGGGGUGAAAGGCCAAACAAACUUGGAAAUAGCUGGUUCUCUCCGAAAACUAUUUAGGUAGUGCCUCAAGUAUUACCGUUGGGGGUAGAGCACUGUUUUGGCUAGGGGGUCAUGGCGACUUACCAAACCAAUGCAAACUCCGAAUACCGACGAGUACAGCUUGGGAGACAGAGCACCGGGUGCUAACGUCCGGACUCAAGAGGGAAACAACCCAGACCGCCAGCUAAGGUCCCUAAAAUUGGCUAAGUGGGAAACGAAGUGGGAAGGCUAAAACAGUCAGGAUGUUGGCUUAGAAGCAGCCAUCAUUUAAAGAAAGCGUAAUAGCUCACUGAUCGAGUCGUCCUGCGCGGAAGAUGUAACGGGGCUCAAGCCAGUUACCGAAGCUGCGGAUGUGCAAUUUAUUGCACGUGGUAGGAGAGCGUUCUGUAAGCCUGUGAAGGUGCGUUGUAAAGCGUGCUGGAGGUAUCAGAAGUGCGAAUGCUGACAUGAGUAGCGUUAAAGGGGGUGAAAAGCCCCCUCGCCGUAAGCGCAAGGUUUUCUACGCAACGUUCAUCGACGUAGAGUGAGUCGGCCCCUAAGGCGAGGCAGAGAUGCGUAGUUGAUGGGAAACAGGUCAAUAUUCCUGUACCGAUGUGUAGUGCGAUGUGGGGACGGAGAAGGUUAGCUCAGCCAACUGUUGGAUAUGUUGGUUCAAGCCUGUAGUCGUGCCUGGUAGGUAAAUCCGCCGGGCUUAGAUGAGGGGUGAUAACGAGGCUGCUUGCAGCCGAAGUGAGUGAUACCCUGCUUCCAGGAAAAGCCACUAAGCUUCAGCUACACACGACCGUACCGCAAACCGACACUGGUGCGCGAGAUGAGUAUUCUAAGGCGCUUGAGAGAACUCUGGAGAAGGAACUCGGCAAAUUGACACCGUAACUUCGGAAGAAGGUGUACCUUUAGUAGGUGAAGGGAUUUACUCCUGGAGCCCAAUGAGGUUGCAAAAAAUCGGUGGCUGCGACUGUUUAUUAAAAACACAGCACUCUGCAAACACGAAAGUGGACGUAUAGGGUGUGACGCCUGCCCGGUGCUGGAAGAUUAAAUGAUGGGGUGAGAGCUCUUGAUUGAAGUCCCAGUAAACGGCGGCCGUAACAAUAACGGUCCUAAGGUAGCGAAAUUCCUUGUCGGGUAAGUUCCGACCUGCACGAAUGGCGUAACGAUGGCCACACUGUCUCCUCCAGAGACUCAGCGAAGUUGAAAUGUUUGUGAUGAUGCAAUCUCCCCGCGGAAAGACGGAAAGACCCCAUGAACCUUUACUGUAGCUUUGUAUUGGACUUUGAACAGAUCUGUGUAGGAUAGGUGGGAGGCUCUGAAGCAGGGUCGCUAGAUUUU